RNAcentral lists this ribosomal RNA (736 nucleotides) under uncultured Alphaproteobacteria bacterium. RNAcentral's name for it is "bacterial SSU rRNA". It matches the Rfam family "Bacterial small subunit ribosomal RNA", at positions 94 to 867 of the family's 1533-position model. Lineage: Bacteria; Pseudomonadati; Pseudomonadota; Alphaproteobacteria. The record is from RNAcentral.
AGUGGCAGACGGGUGAGUAACAUGUAGGUAUCUGCCCUUUGGCCUGGAAUAACACGAGGAAACUUGUGCUAAUACCGGAUAAGUCUUUACGGAGAAAGCUUUAUGCACCAUUGGAUGAGCCUGCACUUGAUUAGUUUGUUGGUGGGGUAAUGGCCUACCAAGACUGUGAUCAAUAGCUGAUUUGAGAGGAUGAUCAGCCACAUUGGGACUGAGACACGGCCCAAACUCCUACGGGAGGCAGCAGUGGGGAAUCUUGCACAAUGGAGGAAACUCUGAUGCAGCGAUGCCGCGUGAGUGAAGAAGGCCCUUGGGUUGUAAAGCUCUUUCGUCGGGGAAGAAAAUGACUGUACCCGAAUAAGAAGGUCCGGCUAACUUCGUGCCAGCAGCCGCGGUAAUACGAAGGGACCUAGCGUAGUUCGGAAUUACUGGGCUUAAAGAGUUCGUAGGUGGUUGAAAAAGUUGGUGGUGAAAUCCCAGAGCUUAACUCUGGAACUGCCAUCAAAACUUUUCAGCUAGAGUAUGAUAGAGGAAAGCAGAAUUUCUAGUGUAGAGGUGAAAUUCGUAGAUAUUAGAAAGAAUACCAAUUGCGAAGGCAGCUUUCUGGAUCAUUACUGACACUGAGGAACGAAAGCAUGGGUAGCGAAGAGGAUUAGAUACCCUCGUAGUCCAUGCCGUAAACGAUGUGUGUUAGACGUUGGAAAUUUAUUUUCAGUGUCGCAGCGAAAGCGAUAAACAC